GAUGAAUUUUAACCCGGCACAUGUGGUUCGAUUGCAUCACCGGGUAAACAUUCAUCUA
This 58-nucleotide microRNA precursor is filed under the name Euprymna scolopes. The record is from RNAcentral. Lineage: Eukaryota; Metazoa; Mollusca; Cephalopoda; Sepiida; Sepiolidae.